Molecule: ribosomal RNA, 484 nt
Filed under: uncultured bacterium
Lineage: Bacteria
Description: partial 16S ribosomal RNA
Rfam family: Bacterial small subunit ribosomal RNA
Source: RNAcentral
AUUGAACGCUGGCGGAAUGCUUUACACAUGCAAGUCGAACGGCAGCACGGGGGCAGCCCUGGUGGCGAGUGGCGAACGGGUGAGUAAUACAUCGGAACGUGCCCGGUCGUGGGGGAUAACGUAGCGAAAGUUACGCUAAUACCGCAUCCGAUCUGAGGAUGAAAGCGGGGGACCUUCGGGCCUCGCGCGAUCGGAGCGGCCGAUGUCAGAUUAGGUAGUUGGUGGGGUAAAGGCCUACCAAGCCGCCGAUCUGUAGCUGGUCUGAGAGGACGACCAGCCACACUGGGACUGAGACACGGCCCAGACUCCUACGGGAGGCAGCAGUGGGGAAUUUUGGACAAUGGGCGCAAGCCUGAUCCAGCCAUUCCGCGUGCAGGACGAAGGCCUUCGGGUUGUAAACUGCUUUUGUACGGAACGAAAAGGCUCUGGCUAAUACCUGGGGCUCAUGACGGUACCGUAAGAAUAAGCACCGGCUAACUACGUG